CAAUAGCGUAUAUUAAAGUUGUUGCAGUUAAAAGCUCGUAGUUGGAUUUGUGGUUGGGCCGUCCGGUCCGCUCUCUGAGCGGUGCUUGGACAGCUCGUCCAUCCUUGGGUGGAAUCUGUGUGGCAUUAAGUUGUCGUGCAGGGGAUGCCCAUCGUUUACUGUGAAAAAUUAGAGUGUUCAAAGCAGGCUUAUGCCGUUGAAUAUAUUAGCAUGGAAUAAUGAGAUAGGACCUUGGUACUAUUUUGUUGGUUUGCGCACCGAGGUAAUGAUUAAUAGGGACAGUUGGGGGUAUUCGUAUUCCAUUGUCAGAGGUGAAAUUCUUGGAUUUUUGGAAGACGAACUACUGCGAAAGCAUUUACCAAGGAUGUUUUCAUUAAUCAAGAACGAAAGUUAGGGGAUCAAAGAUGAUCAGAUACCAU
This 419-nucleotide ribosomal RNA is filed under the name uncultured eukaryote. Its description in RNAcentral is "SSU rRNA". It matches the Rfam family "Eukaryotic small subunit ribosomal RNA", at positions 592 to 1018 of the family's 1831-position model. The record is from RNAcentral.